CCUACACCUGGCAGUUUUACUUAUGGACUACUGUGUGACAUGUGUAUCAUUAGUGGCAUCUAGAAGAGAUAUUUGCCUACAAUUAGUGUUUGGACCUAUAAACAACUGAAUGACUGGUAGUCUAACACU
Erinaceus europaeus (western European hedgehog) is the source of this 129-nucleotide small nucleolar RNA. The record is from Ensembl. Lineage: Eukaryota; Metazoa; Chordata; Mammalia; Eulipotyphla; Erinaceidae.